Molecule: ribosomal RNA, 484 nt
Filed under: uncultured bacterium
Lineage: Bacteria
Description: partial 16S ribosomal RNA
Rfam family: Bacterial small subunit ribosomal RNA
Source: RNAcentral
AUUGAACGCUGGCGGCAGGCCUAACACAUGCAAGUCGAGCGGAUGAAGGGAGCUUGCUCCUGGAUUCAGCGGCGGACGGGUGAGUAAUGCCUAGGAAUCUGCCUGGUAGUGGGUGAUAACGUCCGGAAACGGGCGCUAAUACCGCAUACGUCCUGAGGGAGAAAGUGGGGGAUCUUCGGACCUCACGCUAUCAGAUGAGCCUAGGUCGGAUUAGCUAGUUGGUGGGGUAAAGGCCUACCAAGGCGACGACCCGUAACUGGUCUGAGAGGAUGAUCAGUCACACUGGAACUGAGACACGGUCCAGACUCCUACGGGAGGCAGCAGUGGGGAAUAUUGGACAAUGGGCGAAAGCCUGAUCCAGCCAUGCCGCGUGUGUGAAGAAGGUCUUCGGAUUGUAAAGCACUUUAAGUUGGGAGGAAGGGCAGUAAGUUAAUACCUUGCUGUUUUGACGUUACCAACAGAAUAAGCACCGGCUAACUUCGUG